GAUGAACGCUAGCGGCAGGCUUAAUACAUGCAAGUCGAACGGCAAGUUUGGUAGCAAUAUCGAACCUAGAGUGACGUACGGGUGCGUAACACGUAUGCAACCUACCCUUUACAGGAGGAUAGCUCGGGGAAACUCGAAUUAACCCUCCAUAACAUAGUUGAAUGGCAUCAUUUGAUUAUUAAAACUCAGGUGGUAAAGGAUGGGCAUGCGUCUGAUUAGUUAGUUGGCGGGGUAACGGCCCACCAAGACG
This 250-nucleotide ribosomal RNA is filed under the name uncultured bacterium. RNAcentral describes it as "partial 16S ribosomal RNA". It matches the Rfam family "Bacterial small subunit ribosomal RNA", at positions 28 to 275 of the family's 1533-position model. The record is from RNAcentral.